This 285-nucleotide unclassified non-coding RNA is filed under the name plant metagenome. RNAcentral describes it as "partial contains small subunit ribosomal RNA, internal transcribed spacer 1, and 5.8S ribosomal RNA". The stretch from base 1 to 54 matches the Rfam family "Eukaryotic small subunit ribosomal RNA", at positions 1778 to 1831 of the family's 1831-position model. The record is from RNAcentral.
GGAAGUAAAAGCCGUAACAAGGUUUCCGUAGGUGAACCUGCGGAAGGAUCAUUAUCGUAUAACCGAGGUGCGAGGGCUGUCGCUGACCCGAAAGGUCGUGCACGCCCGAGUGCCCUCACACACAUCCAUCUCACCCCUAUGUGCACCACCGCGUGGGUCCCCCUUUGGCUUGUUCGGAGGGGGGCUUACGUUUUCACACAAACUUUGUAUGCAGUGUAGAAUGUAUUUUUUGUUUUUGCGAUCACGCAAUCAAUACAACUUUCAACAACGGAUCUCUUGGCUCUC